RNAcentral lists this small nuclear RNA (103 nucleotides) under Nelumbo nucifera (sacred lotus). The record is from RNAcentral. Lineage: Eukaryota; Viridiplantae; Streptophyta; Magnoliopsida; Proteales; Nelumbonaceae.
GUCUCUUCGGAGACAUCCGAUAAAAUUGGAACGAUACAGAGAAGAUUAGCAUGGCCCUUGCGUAAGAAUGAAACGCUCAAAUUGAGAAGUGGUCCAAAUUUUU